Molecule: ribosomal RNA, 250 nt
Filed under: uncultured Cytophagia bacterium
Lineage: Bacteria; Pseudomonadati; Bacteroidota; Cytophagia
Description: partial 16S ribosomal RNA
Rfam family: Bacterial small subunit ribosomal RNA
Source: RNAcentral
UACGGAGGGUGCAAGCGUUGUCCGGAUUUAUUGGGUUUAAAGGGUGCGUAGGCGGCUAUUUAAGUCAGUGGUGAAAUCCUGCAGCUCAACUGUAGAAUUGCCAUUGAUACUGGAUAGCUUGAGUACAGACGAGGUAGGCGGAAUUUAUGGUGUAGCGGUGAAAUGCAUAGAUACCAUCAAGAACACCGAUUGCGAAGGCAGCUUACUAGGCUUUAACUGACGCUGAGGCACGAAAGCGUGGGGAGCAAAC